GACGAACGCUGGCGGCGUGCUUAACACAUGCAAGUCGAGCGAUGAAGCACCUUCGGGUGUGAAUUAGCGGCGAACGGGUGAGGAACACGUGAGAAAUCUGCCUUCAACACUGGGAUAACUCCGGGAAACCGGGGCUAAUACCGGAUAUGAAACCUGCGGGCAUCCGCGGGUUUGGAACGUUUUUCGGUUGAAGAUGAUCUCGCGGCCUAUCGGCUUGUUGGUGAGGUAAUGGCUCACCAAGGCGACGACGGGUAGCCGGCCUGAGAGGGCGACCGGCCACACUGGGACUGAGACACGGCCCAGACUCCUACGGGAGGCAGCAGUGGGGAAUAUUGGGCAAUGGAGGAAACUCUGACCCAGCGACGCCGCGUGCGGGAUGAAGGCCUUCGGGUUGUAAACCGCUUUCAGCAGGGAAGAAGCGAAAGUGACGGUACCUGCAGAAGAAGCACCGGCUAACUAUGUGCCAGCCGCCGCGGUAA
Molecule: ribosomal RNA, 479 nt
Filed under: uncultured bacterium
Lineage: Bacteria
Description: partial 16S ribosomal RNA
Rfam family: Bacterial small subunit ribosomal RNA
Source: RNAcentral